UAAUCUUGACGUUCCGUGCCGGUGAAGGAAGCCUGAUGUAUCGUGUCAAUCGUACUUUAUUCGUAAUACUAUCUACAAACCAGCCAGAAUUCCAACUUAUUUUCCGGCUGCAUUUGCUGGGAUCAAAAUCGACAAUCAACAGCAUCUCAUGGAACAUGUAAUACUUAAUAUUUUAAGGCACGGUGCAGGGCAUUUGUGUCUCCUGUUGAGAAAAUUGGAAAUGGAUACAACCAGCUCGAUCUAUUGCAAUUCCAGAAACCUGUUCUACGUGAAGGAAUUUUACUACCAAUAAUGAUUCCUACUUCAUCAUCACGAAGUUAAAGUUUUUUUAGAAUCAUCAAUAUGAUUCUCAACAUUUUUCUUGCUGAAGGAAAUCACUGAAUGAAAAGCAUUUUCAUGCUGAUGGAUCUUCUGGGAGAAUUUUUUUCAAUGACAUCGCUAAUAACCAUAUCAAAGAUAUGGUCAACGAAUCCCAAGCAGAUAAUUGUCACUAGUUUUGAACGGUCAUUUGAAGCUUCCGGACAAUGCAAAUGCGGGCGAAAAUCCAACCCGAAUAAUUCAGAACGCGAAUUGGCGAUGGCAGCAUUUUAUGCAAUUUAACACAUGCAGGUUAUUGAUGUAAUGCAAAUAUUUCUUUCGUGCAACCAACUGAUGCAUUUCUGUCAAG
Long non-coding RNA from Topomyia yanbarensis, 667 nucleotides. RefSeq lists it as uncharacterized. The transcript is spliced from 3 exons. NCBI's taxonomy places the organism in Eukaryota, Metazoa, Arthropoda, Insecta, Diptera, Culicidae. The record is from RefSeq and is a predicted model, not a curated record.